UGCAGGUGCACCUUCCAUGCCGCGAACAAAUGUUUGACCAUUCGUCUUAUUCAAAAUAGUUAUCUAAAUGUUAUUUAUUUUGUUACGAGUUGUUUUAUUAUAAUAGAUAGUUUAAGCAUGACUUAUAUUUAUAAAUAUUUGCAUAAAUUUUUUGAAUAAAACGAAGGGUCAAACGUGCGCUAAAAAGUCAACAGCGUCAAACAUU
This 205-nucleotide microRNA precursor is filed under the name Leersia perrieri. Its description in RNAcentral is "MIR812 microRNA precursor family". It matches the Rfam family "MIR812 microRNA precursor family". The record is from Rfam by way of RNAcentral. Lineage: Eukaryota; Viridiplantae; Streptophyta; Magnoliopsida; Poales; Poaceae.